Molecule: long non-coding RNA, 1147 nt
Organism: Hirundo rustica (Barn swallow)
Lineage: Eukaryota; Metazoa; Chordata; Aves; Passeriformes; Hirundinidae
Exons: 3
Source: RefSeq, a predicted model, not a curated record
GCGCUGCCCGCCCUUAGGAGUCUGCUCCGGGCGUUCCUCAGGGCGCUGCUCGGGGCGGUGCCCGCCCUCAGGAAUCUGCUCCGGGCGCUCCUCAGGGCACUGCUCGGGGCGGUGCCCGCCCUCAGGAGUCUGCUCCCGGCGCUCCUCAGGGUGCUGCCCGCCCUCAGGAAUCUGCUCCGGGUGCUCCUCAGGGCGCUGCUCGGGGCGGUGCCCGCCCUCAGGAAUCUGCUCCGGGCGCUCCUCAGGGCACUGCUCGGGGCGGUGCCCGCCCUCAGGAGUCUGCUCCCGGCGCUCCUCAGGGCGCUGCCGCUUCCUGCCCGCUGCCUUCCCAAUGUGCCCGAUAUUGUCACAUAUCUGCGGCUGGAAGCGUGGUAAGAGCCUCAGCCGCACUUGAGGGCCGUGCAUAUCUCAGAGGUGCGUCAGGGCUCGCUGACACCAACCAUCAUUAGAGGCAGCUGAAUCUGCCACAGAAACAUCAGGGGCAGGCCUUGGGUGCAGCAAAGGUAUGCCAGUCUGAAGAGGAAAGGCUCUAAAAAUUACAGGGAGAGUUGCCCCAGCAGGAAAAAUGAAGCAGAGGCAUCGCCCUGUCUUGGUGGGGUCCCUAUCUGGAGCAGCACAUCCUGACCUCUUGUCCUGCUGCAGGACAGGGUUUUUUCCUACUUGUGAAUUUGGGAUCGUAUUCUGAAUUGGAAGGGACCCAUAAGGAUCAUCGAGUUCGACUCCUGGCCCUGCACAGGACAACUCCAAGAAUUCCACCAUGUGCCUGAGAGUAUUGUCCAAACUCUAGCACACUUGGUGCUGUGACCACUACCCUAGAGAGCAUAUCUCAGCGCCCCACAAGCCUCUGGGGGAAGAAACUUUUGCUAACAUCCAAACCUUUGGAUGGUCUGGAUGUGGGAGGAAUGGGUGAGAACGCGAAGGAGAACUCACUUGCUCAACAGCAUCCCCUGUGUGAUUGGCACUUCCCCAGCUGAGACUGGCGAGGAUUAAUGAUGCAUGUUGAUAGCCCUCAGGCUGCUACCAUCUUCAGCUCCCUCAGCACAGCUUCUGGUUGCAGUAAAUCAAGGGAACUGUUCAGAAUCUGAGGGUUUGUCAGCUAAAAACUGGGCUCAGUAAUGCACCUGGUUAAAUAACCAUGUGGGUAGUU